UAGGGAAUUUUCGUCAAUGGGCGCAAGCCUGAACGAGCGAUGCCGCGUGAGUGAAGAAGGCUUCGGGUCGUAAAGCUCUGUUGCGGGGGAAAAAAGGCAGCAUCAGGAAAUGGGUGCUGACUGAUGGUGCCCCGCCAGAAAGUCACGGCUAACUACGUGCC
Molecule: ribosomal RNA, 161 nt
Filed under: uncultured bacterium
Lineage: Bacteria
Description: partial 16S ribosomal RNA
Rfam family: Bacterial small subunit ribosomal RNA
Source: RNAcentral